GAUGAACGCUGGCGGCGUGCCUAAUACAUGCAAGUCGAGCGAACGGACGAGAAGCUUGCUUCUCUGAUGUUAGCGGCGGACGGGUGAGUAACACGUGGAUAACCUACCUAUAAGACUGGGAUAACUUCGGGAAACCGGAGCUAAUACCGGAUAAUAUUUUGAACCGCAUGGUUCAAAAGUAAAAGACGGUCUUGCUGUCACUUAUAGAUGGAUCCGCGUUGCAUUAGCUAGUUGGUAAGGUAACGGCUUACCAAGGCAACGAUGCAUAGCCGACCUGAGAGGGUGAUCGGCCACACUGGAACUGAGACACGGUCCAGACUCCUACGGGAGGCAGCAGUAGGGAAUCUUCCGCAAUGGGCGAAAGCCUGACGGAGCAACGCCGCGUGAGUGAUGAAGGUCUUCGGAUCGUAAAACUCUGUUAUUAGGGAAGAACAUAUGUGUAAGUAACUGUGCACAUCUUGACGGUACCUAAUCAGAAAGCCACGGCUAACUACGUG
Molecule: ribosomal RNA, 497 nt
Filed under: uncultured bacterium
Lineage: Bacteria
Description: partial 16S ribosomal RNA
Rfam family: Bacterial small subunit ribosomal RNA
Source: RNAcentral